RNAcentral lists this non-coding RNA (27 nucleotides) under Mus musculus (house mouse). The record is from RNAcentral. Lineage: Eukaryota; Metazoa; Chordata; Mammalia; Rodentia; Muridae.
UGCCAAGUUUGACAGACCCAGAGUUCA